CCCAACCCACACACACACGCUGUAUGGGGAAGGCCCGAGAGCAGCUGCAGCAGAGAGGGAAUAAAGGGGUCAAGAUAGAGGAACUGGGCUGGGCCAGACUCCACUAAGCCAGACUUUACUAAGCCAACUCUCCAGACCCAGCACCAUUCCCGACCCUGAGGACUCUACAUGGGUAUCUGAGGCAUGAAUGCUGGCUGAAGGUCAACCCAGAUAAGACAGAAUCAGUGCUAGUAAAAGGGGGUAGCAAACUGAAGACAUGUCGAAGACUAUAUCUCCAUCUUUAACUGAAGAUGUGACCUCACCAUUUAUGACUUCGGUUUAUAAUCUGGAGAAAGAAUCUCACCUCCUCAUCAGAAAGUCAGAAUCUACAAUUAAUCUACAAUAUAAUAGGAAGAAAGGAAACCCAUUCCUUAUGUGAAAAAAUUGAACAGAUGUUCAUGAAGAUUUACAACAGAAGCUAGGAUUGUUGGGGUUUUUUACAUCUAUUAAAGACGAUG
Molecule: long non-coding RNA, 497 nt
Organism: Mauremys reevesii (Reeves's turtle)
Lineage: Eukaryota; Metazoa; Chordata; Testudines; Geoemydidae
Exons: 3
Source: RefSeq, a predicted model, not a curated record